RNAcentral lists this ribosomal RNA (407 nucleotides) under uncultured bacterium. RNAcentral describes it as "partial 16S ribosomal RNA". It matches the Rfam family "Bacterial small subunit ribosomal RNA", at positions 28 to 526 of the family's 1533-position model. The record is from RNAcentral.
GACGAACGCUGGCGGCGUGCCUAACACAUGCAAGUAGGACGCAGUUGCGAACGGGUGAGUAACGCGUAGGCCACUACCUAUUAGAGGGGGAUAACUAUUGGAAACGAUAGCUAAUACCGCAUACUAGUAGAUGGACCUGCGUUGUAUUAGCUAGUAGGUAGGGUAAUGGCCUACCCAGGCAAAGCUACAUAGCCGAGAUGGAGGGGUGGACGGCCACACUGGGACGUGGACACGGCCCAGACGCCGACGGGAGGCAGCAGGAGGGAAUCUUCGGCAAUGGGGGGAAACCGUACCGAACAACGCCGGGUGAGUGGAGAAGGUUUUCGGAUCUUAAAGCUCUGUUGUGAAGGAAGCGGUACUUAACCAGAAAGGAACGGCUAACUACGUGCCAGCAGCCGCGGUAAUAC